UCUCUGUCACAUGACCUUGGGCAAGCCUCCAUCCCUGGGCAGAUCAAAAGGAGAGGACGAGAUGAGGUGGUGUUUGCAGGGUGCUCGGCCGUGCUUGGCACCGGGCUGGACAGGCAUCAGUACUUGCAGUCUGCAGCUUGAUUUGGAAUCUCCCAGCGGUCCCCAGCUAGGGCGGACUGCUCCCCAGGGCACAUCUGGCAAUGUCCAGAGGUACCUUUGGUUGUCACACUCUGGUCAGGGAGGUGCUACAGGCAUCUUGUCGGGAGAGGCCAGGGGUGCUGCGGACCAUCCUACAGUUCGCGGAGAGCCCCCACCACAGAGAGCAGUCCGGCCCCAGAUGUCAGCACUACUGAGGUGGAGAAACCCCGAAGUUCCCUUGAACCUAAAAGGCCCAUGGGCUGUUCAGAGAGACACUCAGGAGACAGCUGGGCCCGUCAUGAGAAGCGCCUCUGUGAGUCACCUGCAUCGGGAAUGCAGUGGCUGCCCCAGGAGGGGAUCGGUGAGGUCACUCAGGGAGGAGGCAGGGAGAAGAGAAUGGGGAGAUGGAAGCAUUGAUGACAGCUGCACCGAGAGAGGGCAAGCAGCAGCAUGGAGCUGGAGCUGGAGUGGAAGAUUACUCAGCCAUAAAACAUGAAUGAAGCUCUGACACAUGCUAUGACGUGGUUGAGCCUCAAAAACAUUAUGUUCAGUGAAAGAAGUAGGAAACAUAGGUCCCACAUUGUAUGACCCAUUUAUACGAGUCAUCCAGAACAGCAGUGAAUUAAUAAAUCUCGGCAAUGAUCUUCAACAGCAGAUAACAUCACAGAAGAGGGACAGUGGGUGGCAGAGAAGCAAGAGGAUUGCUCAUGAUGACACAUAUCAACUAGAAGAUGGGUAUACAUGGGAAUUCAUUAUAACCUUCUCUCUACUUUUGAAUGUGUUUGAAUUUUUCUGUUUAGAAUAUAAAGCUUAAAGUCCUUUGCUCUGUGUCAUUCUCUCAAAGCAGGGUGAUGACAGCUAGAAGCCUGCAGGUGCUGGUAAAUAUUCCCCAGGGAGUACCGAUGUCUGGCCCCAUUUCUCCCACCUCCAUUCUCAGCCUCUAGCCUAUCGGUGAGGGCUGAGCUCACAAUUUUGUUAUGCUACAUAGCAAAUGUCCUCAGUUACAAAACCUCUCCUCUCCAGUUCCUAGGACCAGGUGUUGGAAGAUGAAAUCUCACCUCUAUUCACCCAGAAAGAUGGGAGAAAUUAACUUGAGCUGCCAGGGAUCAUGGAAUAGCCCUGGCUAGAGGCUGUGGGGUCAACAACUCAUACCACCAUUUGCUUUUCCCUUUGACAAAUUGGGUUUGACCGAUUCUGGCCUGCUCUGGUUUCAGUGAUUUGGCUGUGGUUCCAGACUGGCUCGAGGCCCAGUCCUAAGACCUGGCUGGCUUGCUGGGGGACUGGAGCCAGCAGGGAAGUCUCAGCUUGGACAAGUGCCCUAGAUGCAGAAAUAAUACAUGACCGUGAGU
Molecule: long non-coding RNA, 1487 nt
Organism: Manis pentadactyla (Chinese pangolin)
Lineage: Eukaryota; Metazoa; Chordata; Mammalia; Pholidota; Manidae
Exons: 3
Source: RefSeq, a predicted model, not a curated record